RNAcentral lists this ribosomal RNA (249 nucleotides) under uncultured bacterium. RNAcentral's name for it is "partial 16S ribosomal RNA". It matches the Rfam family "Bacterial small subunit ribosomal RNA", at positions 524 to 772 of the family's 1533-position model. The record is from RNAcentral.
UACGUAGGGUGCAAGCGUUAAUCGGAAUUACUGGGCGUAAAGGGCGCGCAGGCGGCUCUGAAAGUCAGAUGUGAAAGCCCCGGGCUUAACCUGGGAAUUGCAUUUGAUACUCUGGAGCUUGAGUACGGGAGAGGAGAGUGGAAUUCCCAGUGUAGAGGUGAAAUUCGUAGAUAUUGGGAAGAACACCGGUGGCGAAGGCGGCUCUCUGGACCGUAACUGACGCUGAGGCGCGAAAGCGUGGGAGGCAAC